CUGUUGUUUGGAGACCUUCGGGUGGAAGAAUGACAGACUGAGUGGCGGACGGGUGAGUAACGCGUGGGUAACCUACCUUGCACAGGGGGACAACAGUUGGAAACGACCGCUAAUACCGCAUAAGACCACAGUACCGCAUGGUACAGGGGUAAAAACUGAGGUGGUGCAAGAUGGACCCGCGUCUGAUUAGCUAGUUGGUGGGGUAAAGGCCUACCAAGGCGACGAUCAGUAGCCGACCUGAGAGGGUGAUCGGCCACAUUGGGACUGAGACACGGCCCAAACUCCUACGGGAGGCAGCAGUGGGGAAUAUUGGACAAUGGGGGGAACCCUGAUCCAGCGACGCCGCGUGAGUGAAGAAGUAUUUCGGUAUGUAAAGCUCUAUCAGCAGGGAAGAAAAUGACGGUACCUGACUAAGAAGCCCCGGCUAACUACGUGCCAGCAGCCGCAGUAAUACGUAGGGGGCAAGCGUUAUCCGGAUUUACUGGGUGUAAAGGGAGCGCAGACGGCUUGGCAAGUCUGAAGUGAAAGCCCGGGGCUUAACCCCGGGACUGCUUUGGAAACUGUGAAGCUAGAGUGUCGGAGAGGUAAGUGGAAUUCCCAGUGUAGCGGUGAAAUGCGUAGAUAUUGGGAGGAACACCGGUGGCGAAGGCGGCUUACUGGACGAUAACUGACGUUGAGGCUCGAAGGCGUGGGGAGCAAACAGGAUUAG
RNAcentral lists this ribosomal RNA (709 nucleotides) under uncultured Eubacterium sp. RNAcentral's name for it is "bacterial SSU rRNA". It matches the Rfam family "Bacterial small subunit ribosomal RNA", at positions 72 to 781 of the family's 1533-position model. The record is from RNAcentral. Lineage: Bacteria; Bacillati; Bacillota; Clostridia; Eubacteriales; Eubacteriaceae.